RNAcentral lists this ribosomal RNA (489 nucleotides) under uncultured bacterium. RNAcentral's name for it is "partial 16S ribosomal RNA". It matches the Rfam family "Bacterial small subunit ribosomal RNA", at positions 29 to 504 of the family's 1533-position model. The record is from RNAcentral.
AGUGAACGCUGGCGGUAGGCCUAACACAUGCAAGUCGAACGGCAGCACAGUAAGGGCUUGCUCUUACGGGUGGCGAGUGGCGGACGGGUGAGGAAUACAUCGGAAUCUACUUUUUCGUGGGGGAUAACGUAGGGAAACUUACGCUAAUACCGCAUACGACCUACGGGUGAAAGCAGGGGAUCUUCGGACCUUGCGCGAUUGAAUGAGCCGAUGUCGGAUUAGCUAGUUGGCGGGGUAAAGGCCCACCAGGGCGACGAUCCGUAGCUGGUCUGAGAGGAUGAUCGGCCACACUGGAACUGAGACACGGUCCAGACUCCUACGGGAGGCAGCAGUGGGGAAUAUGGGACAAUGGGCGAAAGCCUGAUCCAGCCAUACCGCGUGGGUGAAGAAGGCCUUCGGGUUGUAAAGCCCUUUUGUUGGGAAAGAAAAGCAGCAGGUUAAUACCCCGCUGUUCUGACGGUACCCAAAGAAUAAGCACCGGCUAACUUC